AACGAACGCUGGCGGCGUGCUUAACACAUGCAAGUCGAACGAGAAAGUCCUUCGGGAUGAGUAGAGUGGCGCACGGGUGAGUAAAGAAUAGGAACAUACCUAUGGGCGUGGAAUAACCGGGGGAAACUCCGGCUAAUACCGCAUAAGGUCGAAAGACGAAAGGGGGCCUCUACAUGUAAGCUCUCACCGAUAGAGUGGCCUAUUUCCCAUUAGCUAGUUGGUAGGGUAAAAGCCUGCCAAGGCGACGAUGGGUAGCUGGUCUGAGAGGAUGAUCAGCCACACUGGAACUGAGACACGGUCCAGACUCCUACGGGAGGCAGCAGUGGGGAAUCUUGCACAAUGGGCGCAAGCCUGAUGCAGCAACGCCGCGUGAGUGAAGAAGGCCCUUGGGUCGUAAAGCUCUUUCGGCUAGGAAGAAGGGUGUCCUGUAGAAACACUGGACAUUUGACGGUACUAGAAGAAGAAGCACUGGCUGAUUCCGUGCCAGCCGCCGCGGUAA
This 499-nucleotide ribosomal RNA is filed under the name uncultured bacterium. RNAcentral's name for it is "partial 16S ribosomal RNA". It matches the Rfam family "Bacterial small subunit ribosomal RNA", at positions 29 to 523 of the family's 1533-position model. The record is from RNAcentral.